This is a non-coding RNA of Candidatus Burkholderia pumila, 68 nucleotides long. The record is from Rfam. NCBI's taxonomy places the organism in Bacteria, Pseudomonadati, Pseudomonadota, Betaproteobacteria, Burkholderiales, Burkholderiaceae.
GUCGUCGUGAGGCGGGGUCUGAAGGAAGCGUGUACCAAAGCCACGACCUGACGAACAGAAACCAGGGC